UCUUGAUUUAAUUUUGAACGAGUGGCGGACGGGUGAGUAACACGUGGGUAACCUGCCCUUAAGUGGGGGAUAACAUUUGGAAACAGAUGCUAAUACCGCAUAAAUCCAAGAACCGCAUGGUUCUUGGCUGAAAGAUGGCGUAAGCUAUCGCUUUUGGAUGGACCCGCGGCGUAUUAGCUAGUUGGUGAGGUAACGGCUCACCAAGGCAAUGAUACGUAGCCGAACUGAGAGGUUGAUCGGCCACAUUGGGACUGAGACACGGCCCAAACUCCUACGGGAGGCAGCAGUAGGGAAUCUUCCACAAUGGACGCAAGUCUGAUGGAGCAACGCCGCGUGAGUGAAGAAGGCUUUCGGGUCGUAAAACUCUGUUGUUGGAGAAGAAUGGUCGGCAGAGUAACUGUUGUCGGCGUGACGGUAUCCAACCAGAAAGCCACGGCUAACUACGUGCCAGCAGCCGCGGUAAUACGUAGGUGGCAAGCGUUAUCCGGAUUUAUUGGGCGUAAAGCGAGCGCAGGCGGUUUUUUAAGUCUGAUGUGAAAGCCCUCGGCUUAACCGAGGAAGUGCAUCGGAAACUGGGAAACUUGAGUGCAGAAGAGGACAGUGGAACUCCAUGUGUAGCGGUGAAAUGCGU
RNAcentral lists this ribosomal RNA (631 nucleotides) under Lacticaseibacillus rhamnosus. Its description in RNAcentral is "bacterial SSU rRNA". It matches the Rfam family "Bacterial small subunit ribosomal RNA", at positions 72 to 691 of the family's 1533-position model. Lineage: Bacteria; Bacillati; Bacillota; Bacilli; Lactobacillales; Lactobacillaceae. The record is from RNAcentral.